GAUGAACGCUGGCGGCGUGCCUAAUACAUGCAAGUCGAGCGAACAGACGAGGAGCUUGCUCCUCUGACGUUAGCGGCGGACGGGUGAGUAACACGUGGAUAACCUACCUAUAAGACUGGGAUAACUUCGGGAAACCGGAGCUAAUAUCGGAUAACAUGUUGAACCGCAUGGUUCAACAGUGAAAGACGGUUUUGCUGUCACUUAUAGAUGGAUCCGCGCCGCAUUAGCUAGUUGGUAAGGUAACGGCUUACCAAGGCAACGAUGCGUAGCCGACCUGAGAGGGUGAUCGGCCACACUGGAACUGAGACACGGUCCAGACUCCUACGGGAGGCAGCAGUAGGGAAUCUUCCGCAAUGGGCGAAAGCCUGACGGAGCAACGCCGCGUGAGUGAAGAAGGUCUUCGGAUCGUAAAACUCUGUUAUUAGGGAAGAACAAAUGUGUAAGUAACUAUGCACGUCUUGACGGUACCUAAUCAGAAAGCCACGGCUAACUACGUG
Molecule: ribosomal RNA, 497 nt
Filed under: uncultured bacterium
Lineage: Bacteria
Description: partial 16S ribosomal RNA
Rfam family: Bacterial small subunit ribosomal RNA
Source: RNAcentral